Myotis brandtii (Brandt's bat) is the source of this 182-nucleotide long non-coding RNA. RefSeq lists it as uncharacterized. The record is from RefSeq and is a predicted model, not a curated record. Lineage: Eukaryota; Metazoa; Chordata; Mammalia; Chiroptera; Vespertilionidae. The transcript has 3 exons.
CCCCUGCGGCGGAAAGGACGAGGCGGUGUCAAUCGGCGAAUGAAUGAUUCAAGGAAACUGCAAGGAAUUCAGUAUAGCUGAAGUGGGAAGCUGAGAAAGAUUGCCCUCCUACUGAAAACAACUAUUUUUAGAUAUUGGAGAAUAUCUAAAUACUGAAUUGUGAUCCUGAAAGAAGAGAAACA